This 253-nucleotide ribosomal RNA is filed under the name uncultured bacterium. RNAcentral describes it as "partial 16S ribosomal RNA". It matches the Rfam family "Bacterial small subunit ribosomal RNA", at positions 524 to 776 of the family's 1533-position model. The record is from RNAcentral.
UACGUAGGGCGCAAGCGUUAUCCGGAUUUAUUGGGCGUAAAGAGCUCGUAGGCGGUUUGUCGCGUCUAUCGUGAAAGACCAGGGCUCAACCCUGGUUCUGCGGUGGGUACGGGCAGACUAGAGUGAUGUAGGGGAGACUGGAAUUCCUGGUGUAGCGGUGAAAUGCGCAGAUAUCAGGAGGAACACCGAUGGCGAAGGCAGGUCUCUGGGCAUUUACUGACGCUGAGGAGCGAAAGCAUGGGGAGCGAACAGG